GGGAGUGAACUAAAUAUUUAACGUGGAGUUUCGUCAAUAUGCAACUCGUGCAUAUUGAACUUCACUUAAUGUGUAGUGUUUGAUUGUGUGAUUUGUCAUGCCGUGACUUGCAUGUAUUCAGCAGCUCAUGCAUCAUAUGUGUUGUGCAUCGUAUGGUGAAUAUCGUGUGUUGAUUCUUGUUUUCGGUUUGCUUCGUCUCGAUAGAGUUUCGCAUCGUGCCGGAUUGUGAGGACCCGUUCGACUACGUCGGUUCGUCUGCUUUACGGAGUCAUUCUUCUUCCAAGCGGGAUCUCAGGCAAGAUGAUCAUUUCCCCAGAUACCAUUACUAUCAUUGCCAUGCUAGAUUUACCGUCUCUAUCGUUAUGUCUCGUUGCCUACCACAUGUUAAAUAUCAGCCUCUCAACAAUGCCAUGAAACCUUCAACCUGUUCAACCUAGCAAACCACUGAUUGGCUAUGUUACUGCUUGCUUAACCCUGUUGAUAGCGUUGCUAGUUGCAGGUGUAGUUGCUUCCAUGUGAAAACAUGGGUCCCUUGUCUUAUCAUCAUAUUAUAUGCUAUUUAAUUUAUUGCACCUCUAUACUUGGUAAAAGGUGGAAGGCUCGACCUUUCUAGCCUGGUGUUUUGUUCCACCUUUGCCCCCUUAGUUUCGGCUACCGGUGUUAUGUUCCAUAAAUGAGCGCUCCUAACACGAUCGGGGUUGUUAUGGGGACCCCCUUGAUAAUUUGUUUUAGAUUAAGGCUGGUCUGGCAAGGCCCAACUUUGGUUCUACAUUUUCCCAACAUAAUAACUUGAUAAUAUUGAAAUGCAUAGGGAGUUAGCGCUACCCGAGGAGUAAUUCUACAUAUUACAGGGGGGCCAGUGCUGUUGGUGCUGGUCCAAAACUAGAGCCGUUUGCGGGGCCAACCCGGGGCAACUCGGGAGAUUUCUAUCAGGCCACCGUACGCUGUGCUUAUACGUCGUGUCCUGAGAACGAGAUACGUGGCUCCUAUCGGGAUCGUCGACACGCCGGGCGGCCUUGCUGGAUUAGUUUUACCUUUGACGAGAUAUCUUGUGCAUCGGGAUUCCGGUGAUGCUUUGGGUAAUCUCAGAGUUGAGGUUUUCCACUAGGGAAUCCGACGAGGUCGCGAGCUUCGUGAUUGAGGAUUUCUAUGCGGCUUGUGGUAAUUUGUGAUGGACUAGUUGGAGCACCCCUGCAGGGUUAAAUCUUUUGGAAAGCCGUGCCCGCGGUUAUGUGACAACGUGGAUACUUUGUUUAACACUGGUUCUAGAUAACUCGAAGUUAAUUAAUUAAAACAUGCCUACCGUGUGCGUAACCGUGACUGUCUCUUUCGUGAGUUCCUUCUCCGAUCGAGGACACGGUGGGGUUAUGUCUGACGUAGGCAGGUGUUCAGGAUCAUUCAUUUGAUCAUCAGUAGUUCACGUUCGUUAUGCGUAGAUCUUCCCCCUCUCAUUUCUUGUACUCAUAAGUUUAGCCACCAAAUAUAUGCUUAGGCGCUGCUGCAACCUCACCACUUAACCAUACCUCACCCAUUAAGCUUUACUAGUCUUGAUACCUUUGGAAAUGAGAUUGCUGAGUCCCCUGUGGCUCACAGAUUACUACAACACCAGUUGCAGGUACAGGUAGAGGGUACUUGACGCGAGCGUGUUGAUUGUUCAUUUGGAGUUGCUUCUUCUUCUUCUUCUUCUUCAUCGAUCUAGGAUGGGUUCCAGGCCGGCAUCUUGGGAUAGCAAGGAUGGACGUCGUUCUUCUUUUGUCGUUUGUUUUCGUCCGUAGUCGGACCCUGCUCUUACUCUUGAUGAUUAUGUAAUGUACUGAUGUGACUGAUGUAACUUGUGACGAUUGUAAGCCAAUUCUAUAUAUCUCUUCUUUUCAGUACAUGUACUUGUAACGAUAUCCAUUCUUGCGACACGACGAGAUGCGCUUCUAUCCCUGACGAGACCCUCGUGCCAAAUUGAGGAUAGGGU
This 1966-nucleotide long non-coding RNA is filed under the name Hordeum vulgare. Its description in RNAcentral is "long non-coding RNA (HVUL_LNC018567)". The record is from RNAcentral. Lineage: Eukaryota; Viridiplantae; Streptophyta; Magnoliopsida; Poales; Poaceae.